Camellia sinensis is the source of this 615-nucleotide non-coding RNA. Lineage: Eukaryota; Viridiplantae; Streptophyta; Magnoliopsida; Ericales; Theaceae. The record is from RefSeq and is a predicted model, not a curated record.
AGAGUUCAGUCCUUGCUUUGGAUGAUUCCGCACUGGACAUUGAUGAAGUUCAAAAUCUGAUAAAAUUAUGUCCAACGAAAGAAGAAAUGGAAGUUCUCAAGUUCAUCAAAUCGUCCACCUUCUUCUUCAUCCCCUUCUGUGAUUCCAGUGCUCAAGUUGUGGAGGCGAACAAAGGAAGCUAAUUUAUGGGAUUUGGAGAGAAAAUAGUGAACCCCAUUAAUGGAGCCAUCGUGCUUUCCAUCACUAUUGUCCCACUCGUUGUUGAAAUGGCUCCCCACAGCUCAACCCCUGCAACCGCCGAUAUGCGUCGUCGUCGCCUCGGCUCGGCUCGGCUCCUCCACCUCCACCGGAUUCGACGAUGGCGGCACCAGAAGUAACGUCCUUAAGUUCUACAAUGUCUUCAGGUUCAAAAGAAAAAUUAGUUAGUUCUAUCUUCUCAUUGUUGAUAAAUGUGUGUAUAUAUAUAUAUAUAUAUAUGUAUAUGAUACAUACAUUUAUAUAUACAUACAAAGAACUCUUGAAUUUCUUUUGAUAGUGUUGACAGUGUACAAUGAGGAGAUAGAACUCACAGAGAAAUUUUCUCUGAAUCUAGAGAAAUGUGCUGACAGAGAAAUU